GGGCAUGAAGCAGAGCAAAGCCCUGCGGGAGGAGAGGAGCUGCAGCUGCUCAGGCUUGGGAUGGAUCCAGGUCCCCACACGAAGCCCAGCCUUGGCACCCCAUUGCAUCCCUAUGGGAGCAGCAGCAUCCAUCCCAUCCCACGCAGCCCCCCAGACCAGUGCCAGCCCGGGGUCCCAGCACAGUGCCGGUCCCACACUGGGGUGCACGGAGCCCACAGCAGAACGCCACUGCUCUGCAGCACAGCGCUGCAUCCUCAGCCGCUCACACGCAGCUAUCGACAGCGAUUUCACACUGCUUGCCUUCCUAAUUGUCUCCCUGAUCUGUUUUCUAAUCUGAGUUGUCUUAACACAAACAAUUACAGCCGAGUAACUGAUUAAUCAUUCAAAUGAAUUUAAAAUGGAGUGUUUUAAUAUAUUUAGAUAAUGCACAUGUGCAACAGGAAAAAAAAAGAGCGAUGCUUAUCUGCAAUUGUCACUUAGAAUGGAUGAGUUCCAAUUAUUUGUGUGGGAGAAAACAGAGGUAUAAAGAUCAGAAUCCAAAUUAUUGUGUAAACUGUUGACAUAUUCUGAGCGCUGUUAUUUAAAUGCCACAAAAUAGAUGUUUAAAUGAGGAUGAAUAAUUGCAUCAAUAAUUCAUUUGCAGCUUAGAAGGAAGCUUUGGCUGAUGUGGGAUGGUGGGAAGGGGCAGCGUGGCUCCGGAGCUUUUUGCAUUGAGGCAGAGGGAGCUUCUCCAAAAGCCUUGCUCUUUGCAGGCCCAAAGGCUUGCAUGGAAUCCCAACCUGCCCCAAAGCAGUGGCAUAGACCCAAACUCCCGUAUCCAGAUGCACAGCAGCUCAUGCCCGCUGCCAUGCUGCGACUGAGCCAGCAGAAAACCCCAGAGGCGAUGCUUCCCUUACCUGCAAAUUGGUUUCUAAUCUGGGUGCCUUUAAAAACGCAGCCAUUGGAAAGAAAAGCAAGGCCACUCGUGCUUAUAGCACAGUUAUCCAACGGGGUGAGGGAGUGAGGUUUGCUAAGCACUGGUUCUUUAAAUAACACACCCUCUCGCAGUGGUAUGUGGCAAGGAGUAACCCAACACAGCCUCCUGCAACGAGAUACAGCAUCAGACAUUUAAAAGGAAUAGCUUUGAUGCCGGCUGUCAGCAAAAAAUGCAGGCAGAAAACGCGUGCCUUCAGCUGCUGCCACGCACAGAGCAGCAAGAGCCCCAUCCCAACGUCCUGCUGAGCACAGAGGGCCUCUUAAUGGGCGAAGAGGAGGUGAAACGCACAGCAGAGCGGUGGGGAUCUCCCCAGCUUGGAGGUUCCCAGGACCAUGUUGUGCUGUGCACACAGCAGAUGUGAGGCAUUACCCACACAGCACCAGCUGAGCCACAAAGACCAAGGAGGAUGAACAUGGCUUUCCAGCAUCACGAGGCCACCAGCACCUGCGCUGCCCCA
Long non-coding RNA from Gallus gallus (chicken), 1433 nucleotides. RefSeq lists it as uncharacterized. NCBI's taxonomy places the organism in Eukaryota, Metazoa, Chordata, Aves, Galliformes, Phasianidae. The transcript is spliced from 3 exons. The record is from RefSeq and is a predicted model, not a curated record.